This 74-nucleotide transfer RNA is filed under the name Candidatus Legionella polyplacis. RNAcentral describes it as "Legionella endosymbiont of Polyplax serrata tRNA-Asp". It matches the Rfam family "tRNA". Rfam says of the family: Transfer RNA (tRNA) molecules are approximately 80 nucleotides in length. Their secondary structure includes four short double-helical elements and three loops (D, anti-codon, and T loops). Further hydrogen bonds mediate the characteristic L-shaped molecular structure. tRNAs have two regions of fundamental functional importance: the anti-codon, which is responsible for specific mRNA codon recognition, and the 3' end, to which the tRNAs corresponding amino acid is attached (by aminoacyl-tRNA synthetases). tRNAs cope with the degeneracy of the genetic code in two manners: having more than one tRNA (with a specific anti-codon) for a particular amino acid; and 'wobble' base-pairing, i.e. permitting non-standard base-pairing at the 3rd anti-codon position. Lineage: Bacteria; Pseudomonadati; Pseudomonadota; Gammaproteobacteria; Legionellales; Legionellaceae. The record is from RNAcentral.
GGAGUGGUAGUUCAGUUGGUUAGAAUACCGGCCUGUCACGCCGGGGGUCGCGGGUUCGAGUCCCGUUCACUCCG